This 106-nucleotide ribosomal RNA is filed under the name uncultured bacterium. RNAcentral's name for it is "partial 16S ribosomal RNA". It matches the Rfam family "Bacterial small subunit ribosomal RNA", at positions 1377 to 1482 of the family's 1533-position model. The record is from RNAcentral.
AGCCUUGUACACACCGCCCGUCAAGCCACCCGAGUUGGCCGCACCCGAAGUAGUAGUUCUAUCCGCAAGGGGGGACGCUCCUAAGGUGAUGCCGGUGAGGGGGACU